This is a long non-coding RNA of Dreissena polymorpha, 2534 nucleotides long. RefSeq lists it as uncharacterized. The record is from RefSeq and is a predicted model, not a curated record. The transcript is spliced from 2 exons. NCBI's taxonomy places the organism in Eukaryota, Metazoa, Mollusca, Bivalvia, Myida, Dreissenidae.
AAUUAAAGAUCAUCUAAUAAAUGACCUCCACACCCUCACAAUAUACCCCCACCCCCACCCCAAAAAAAUCCUUUUAUGCCCCCCAGUAGGGUAGCAUAAAGCAGUUGAACUGUCCGUCAGUGUCAGUCAGUCUGUCUGUCCGUCCGGAAAAAACAACAACAUUGGCCAUAACUUUUUCACUUUUUAAGAUAGCAACUAGAUAUUUGGCAUGCAUGUGUAUCUCAUGGAGCUGCACAUUUUGAGUGGUGAAUGGUCAAGGUCAUCCUUCAAGGUCAAAUGUCGAAUUUAUGGUGUCUGUCCGUCUGAAAACUUUAACAUUGGCCAUAACUUUUUCAAUAUUGAAGAUAGCAACUUGAUAUUUUGCAUGCAUGUGUAUCUCAUGGAGCUAAACAUUUUGAGUGGUGAAAGGUGAAGGUAAUCCUUCAAGGUCAAAUGUCAAAUAUAUGGCGUCUGUCCGUCCGAAAACUUUAACAUUGGCCAUAACUUUUUUAAUAUUGAAGAUAGCAACUUGAUAUUUGGCAUGCAUGUGUAUCUCAUGAAGCUGCACAUUUUGAAUGGAGGAAGUUCAAGGUCAAGGUCAUCCUUCAAAGUAAAAAAAAUAAUAAAUCAAAGCGGCGUUCUCAUGAAGCUGCACAUUUUGAGUGGUGGAAGUUCAAGGUCAUCCUUCAAGGUCAAGGUCAUCCAUCAAGGUCAAAGGUAAAAAAACAAAUAUAAAAUUUCAAAGCGGCAUUAUCAUUAAGCGGCACAUUUUGAGUGGUGGAAGUUCAAGGUCAAGGUCAUUCUUCAAGGUCAAGGUCAUCCUUCAAGGUCAAAGGUAAAAAAAAAUCAAAGCGGCGUUAUCAUGAAGCUGCACAUUUUGAGUGGUGGAAGUUCAAGGUCAAGGUCAUCCUUCAAGGUCAAAAAUAAAUUAAUAAACAAAUUUCAAAGCGGCGUUCUCAUGAAGCUGCCCAUUGUGAUUGGUGGAAGUUCAAGGUCAAGACCAUCCUUCAAGGUCAAGGUCAUCCUUCAUGGUCAAAGGUCCAAAAAAAUAAUUCAAAGCGGCGUUCUCAUGAAGCUGCACAUUUUGAGUGGUGGAAGUUCAAAGUCAAGGUCAUUCUUCAAGGUCAAGGUCAUCCUUCAAGGUCAAAGGUAAAAAAAAAAAUUAUUUCAAAGCGGCGUUAUCAUGAAGCUGCACAUUUUGAGUGUUGGAAGUUAAAGGUCAAGGUCAUCCUUCAAGGUCAAGGUCAUCCUUCAAGAUCAAAUGUCAAAAAAAUAAUAUUUCAAAGCGGCCUUCUCAUAAAGCUGCACAUUUUGAGUGGUGGAAGUUCAAGGUCAUCCUUCAAGGUCAAAGGAAAAAAAUCAACAAUUAACAUUUUCAAAGCGGCGCAAUAGGGGGCAUUGUGUUUCUGACAAACACAUCUCUUGUUUUUUUCCAACAUGGUUAAAAAACACAAAUAUUUAUUUUUAUUAUUUAUUUGAAAUACCGUCCAACCAUCCCACCCAAGAAUCCCUCCCCCUCCCAAAAAAAAACAAAACUUUUUUUUGCAUUUUUUUUGCAUUUUUGGAAGAUAAUGUAAUAAAUGACCACACCACCACACUAUACACCCCUCUCCACUCCAACCCUCCCUCCUUUGUGAUUGAAAUUGAGAUAGGUCCGUACACCUUUAUAAAGAAAAAUAGAUGAGGGGUUAUUAGUUAUUAGUUUUAUUAGUUAUUCAUGCGGCGCAGUAGUGGCAAUGGGUUUCUGACAAACACAUCUCUUGUUGAGUCACUAGGUCAAAGGUUACAAAGGUCAAGGUCACUGUGACCUCUAAAAAAAAAAUUCUGACAAGCUUUCGCAGCCGAGCGUGGCACCCGUUAUGCGGUGCUCUUGUUUUAAAUUGUGUGGUAGAUUGAUAAAAUUUAUACAUCAAAAUAACAAUAAAGAUAUUUGGAAACAAUAGAAGUAUUGGUCUAUAUUUUUAAUUCAGUAUUAAAUUCAAUUUUAAAAAUAAUGUGUUUAUAUGUUCGUCUACUCCAAAUAAUCAUUUUGAAUAAGCAAAUAUAGGGUAAUAAUCUCUACGGAAAGUACACGUAGGAACUUAUCAAUCGCUUGUGUACUUCAUAUUGAUCAGGGUCUUUGUAAAUUAUUGCAUGAUUGUUUAUGCCUAUGUCUUAAUUGUGUAAAUAUCUUCAAAAGCAUUAGAUAACUGUUAAGGGGAUUUUAAUUUUAAAAUGUUAAAAUAUUAUCUAAACUGUAACCAGGCAUCUGUUGCAUUUAUUUGAACGUGUUUAAAUUUUCUUGCAUACUGAAUGUUAUAUUGUCUAUAAACGUUCGUAUUUUUACUUUUUAUUGUGGUUGUUUUGUUAAGACAAAGUUCACUAAUCCUGUUGUUUUGUUCAACCAUUUCUAUAAAAAAUGUUGUAUGUAAAUAAUUGAACAUGUUUAUGUUGGUGAUAUGCAUUUUACGAUAUAAGUUUGUUGUUGCACUCUCGAUAAAGUGCAUAGCCAUUCAUGUGUAAUAUUAUUGAUUAGUGACACUUUCUUGUUAUUACAAAUAAAAAUCUCCAAUGAU